RNAcentral lists this long non-coding RNA (254 nucleotides) under Haliotis rubra (blacklip abalone). Its description in RNAcentral is "uncharacterized LOC124254988, transcript variant X3". The record is from RNAcentral. Lineage: Eukaryota; Metazoa; Mollusca; Gastropoda; Lepetellida; Haliotidae.
GGAUAAGAUUGUCCUCUAGAACCUGAGCAAGAUGUCAUGUAGGCCUGGACAAAAUGUCCUGUACAAGUUGUCCUCUGGAACCUGGACAUGAUGCCCUGUAGGUCCUGAAGAAGAUGUCCUGUAGGUACAGGACAUGAUGUCAUGUAGGUCCUGGACAUGAAUUGUCCUCUGGAACCUGGACAAGAUGUCCUCUAGAACCCGGACAAGAUGUUCUGUAGAACCUGGACAAGAUGUCCUGUAGGCCCUGGACAAGA